Non-coding RNA from Cinara cedri, 329 nucleotides. The record is from the annotation of a GenBank genome assembly. Lineage: Eukaryota; Metazoa; Arthropoda; Insecta; Hemiptera; Aphididae.
GUUUGCAAAUUUAAUACGAGGUUUGAAUUUGAUAUUAAAAAUUAACCGUAUAAUGUAGUAAUUUUUUAUUAAAAUUUUGAUGAAAUCGCGUUUUUUUUUAUAGGUCGUAUUGUUUGUGUAAUACAAUAAUAUUGUCACUGCGCUUUGGUUUUGUAGCGAAAAUGUCAUUUAACACAACGUCAUUACAUGAACAAAAUAAUAAAGAAGACUUGGAACGGCGCGUGUAUUAGGACUUGGUGCCAGGUGUCUAGUUUAUUUACACAUCGUUGGAUAGAUACGCGAGAUAAAAAAAAUGAUAAUAUUGCUCAAUAAUACAGCAAAAUAUUGGU